RNAcentral lists this ribosomal RNA (253 nucleotides) under uncultured bacterium. RNAcentral describes it as "partial 16S ribosomal RNA". It matches the Rfam family "Bacterial small subunit ribosomal RNA", at positions 524 to 776 of the family's 1533-position model. The record is from RNAcentral.
UACGUAGGGCGCAAGCGUUGUCCGGAUUUAUUGGGCGUAAAGAGCUCGUAGGCGGUUUGUCGCGUCGGCCGUGAAAUCUCCACGCUUAACGUGGAGCGUGCGGUCGAUACGGGCAGACUUGAGUUCGGUAGGGGAGACUGGAAUUCCUGGUGUAGCGGUGAAGUGCGCAGAUAUCAGGAGGAACACCGGUGGCGAAGGCGGGUCUCUGGGCCGAUACUGACGCUGAGGAGCGAAAGCGUGGGGAGCGAACAGG